RNAcentral lists this ribosomal RNA (370 nucleotides) under uncultured eukaryote. RNAcentral's name for it is "partial 18S ribosomal RNA". It matches the Rfam family "Eukaryotic small subunit ribosomal RNA", at positions 592 to 976 of the family's 1831-position model. The record is from RNAcentral.
CAAUAGCGUAUAUUAAAGUUGUUGCAGUUAAAAAGCUCGUAGUUGGAUUUCUGGUCGGAAGCUCCUGUCCUCUGAUGAGCAUACAAGUGCGUCCUACCAUCCUUCUGUUAACCUUUAAGGCUUUCGCGGCUUUCUAGGGGCUCAGAUAUUUUACCUUGAGAAAAUUAGAGUGUUUCAGGCAGGCUAGCGCCGGAAUACAUUAGCAUGGAAUAAUGGAAUAGGACUUUUGCCUCUUCUGUUGGUCAUGAGGCUCGAGUAAUGAUUAAUAGGGAUAGUUGGGGGCAUUAGUACUUAACUGUCAGAGGUGAAAUUCUCGGAUUUGUUAAAGACUAACUUAUGCGAAAGCAUUUGCCAAGGAUGUUUUCAUUAA